AGCAAAAAAAUAACAUCAUCUUUAAAUAUACUGCAUUCUUUGUUUAUAGUUUUCUAAGUUUCACUUUCACUAAAUAUAGUUUUGAAUGUGCUGCAAAUGUUUUCGUUUUCACUUUCCAAGUUUUCGUUUGCGCUUCGCAAAUUUACGUUCUCCAUUUUGACACAAACCUCUCGUGAGGGGCGGGCUUAACAGCGGUUCGCUCUUAUUGGCUUGUGAGAUUUUGAUUGACAGCUCAUUGAACCGGAACCCCGGAACAGAAGGUGGCGGUAGUGCACCAAUAAGCUGGAUCCCAACCGCUGUUAAAAAUAACAAGAAGAAGACGAUCGGACGCAGUUUAUUAGCGGAGCUGCAAGUAGUCUAAACAAACGGUAAUAAGAGUAUAUUAAAGAACAUUAUUGAUAAUACACGGAUAUUUUACACGUCAGCAGAGGAAUUACAAUAGUUCAAGAUGAGUAAUCGAGAGGCUCACGGUCCGGAGCACCAACACCAUCCUCCUCGGCCGGACAAUCGAGGCAGCCUGAGGUAAGUUUGUAAUAACUAUCAAAAUAAAUAGAAUAAUCCCACUGCAAGAUUUAUUCAUGUGUGAAGGCUGCAACAGUUGUGUUAAACUGUAUAUGAAUGGUAUUGCAUUUCUCAAAGCAGAGCAAAGAUCGUUACGUAACAGACCAUUUGUUCCAUAUAGUCUACUUUGGCACAUAUGUUAGGCUUACAAUGGAUAUGUGAAACGCAAAGAUAAUGAUCUUUCUUUAAUUGUGGUUAGGCAAACAAUUCUAUCUUUAUUAUUGUCCAUAAAAAACAAAUGUAAGAUUUUAGCCUAAUUCCGCUUUUCUUUUUAUAUUACUUAUCAGGACCAAAGAGUGUAAUUUCUCCAGGUAGGCACUGAACCAUCUCAUGUUGUUCUCUGUAUAUAAAAUACCAAUUUAAAGGGGCUUUGGUAAAUUUUUAGGUUUUUUUAGUUUAUGUUUUUAUUAGAUUUGAAAUGUAACGAGUUCAGCAUAGAAUUCAUGUUAGCUAUUUCUACAAGAACAAGCGUGAGAACAUAUUUUGCAGCGAAUGUUUAGUUAAAAUCAAUUUUAAUUCAAAUCAAUUAAUCUUUAAUGCACGUUUACAAGAGCACUGUGCUACAUAAGGUUAAAAUGAAGCCUUGAAAGGGGUAGUCAUGUUUGCUGUUACUGGUGGGACAGAAAGCUCUCUUUGAAAAGAUAACAUUUUAAAGAUCUUUACUUGUGUUCAGAAGAUGAACCAAAGUCUUAAGGGUUUGGAACGACAUGAUGAAUUAAGCCUCUAUGGUGUGAUGUUUGGUCAGCUGUCUCUUGUACUAUGAAGAACUGCAAUGGAAGAAGAGACAGUGCUUGAUUCGGCAGGUGAACUGCACCUAUUUUAUGGUGGAGCAACUUUUUCAAGAGGAAAUUGUUGACAAUGUCACAGAGGAUGAUGGUGUGGUCGUGGUGCCAGAGAUCUAUUGUCCUUUGUCAGACCAAAAGCCUUUGAUAUCACCAUUGAAUGUCUAGGAGUUAUACCAACAGACACUUGAUGUCACCCAAAGACUGUGCUCCAUUUAAAUUGUAAAAGUCAUUUUCAGGUUUACAAGAUACAAAAGCUGGUUCACAGAUGUACCUUUCCUUUAAAACUAUUUCCCACCUGUAAUCACAAUGGGGACACAUCUCUGACUGCUGGGCUUCCCCUCUUAUUGUGUUCAGAUUCAUAUGCAUCUGCAGGGUUAUUCAUGGCAACACUUUAUAGCGUUGUGCUGGUAAUUUAUCUUUAUAUAUCAUGCCUUCUCACUACAUCUGUCAGCCUGUGCUUUACAUAUCUGAGAGUCAACGCAGCUAAACAUGAAGGACAAAUGCAAUGCAAGAUGUUAUAUAUCGGCAUAUGGAUGAUUAGAAACUGCUUUCUGUUGGUGUGUUUAAACAUCACAUGACAUAGAAAAUUAACUGUCCUCCAUUUUCCUCCUUAGCUUUAAUUUGUACUUUAGACGUCAAUGGGUACACUCUCAUGUGUGCUUACCAUCAUUUAUCAAAAUAUCUUCUCAGCAGAAUAAAGAAACUUAAAUAGGUUUACAACAACAUGAGACUGAGUAAAUAAUAACAGAAUUUUCAUUUUUGUGUGAACUAUCCCUUUAAGACUCUGUAAACCAUUCAGAUGCAUGUAAAAUCAUUAACAACUGUUAAACAGCAUCUAUAAAUGAUAAAAAAGACAUUACUAUUGGGAGAAACAUUUUGUCUAGACAUUUGAGUUCAUUUCAACUGACACU
Misgurnus anguillicaudatus (oriental weatherfish) is the source of this 2257-nucleotide non-coding RNA. NCBI's taxonomy places the organism in Eukaryota, Metazoa, Chordata, Actinopteri, Cypriniformes, Cobitidae. The record is from RefSeq and is a predicted model, not a curated record.